GGGGAAUAUUGCACAAUGGAGGAAACUCUGAUGCAGCGACGCCGCGUGAACGAUGAAGGCUUUCGGGUCGUAAAGUUCUGUCCUUGGGGACGAUAAUGACGGUACCCAAGGAGGAAGCCCCGGCUAACUACGUGCCAGCAGCCGCGGUAAUACGUAGGGGGCAAGCGUUGUCCGGAUUUAUUGGGCGUAAAGGGUGCGUAGGCGGCCAUUUAAGUCAGAUGUGAAAGAUCACGGCUCAACCGUGGUAAGCAUUUGAAACUGAAAGGCUUGAGUUAAGGAGAGGAAAGUGGAAUUCCUAGUGUAGCGGUGAAAUGCGUAGAUAUUAGGAGGAAUACCAGUGGCGAAGGCGACUUUCUGGACUUAUACUGACGCUGAGGCACGAAAGCGUGGGGAGCGAAC
This 399-nucleotide ribosomal RNA is filed under the name uncultured bacterium. RNAcentral's name for it is "bacterial SSU rRNA". It matches the Rfam family "Bacterial small subunit ribosomal RNA", at positions 356 to 773 of the family's 1533-position model. The record is from RNAcentral.